This 406-nucleotide ribosomal RNA is filed under the name uncultured prokaryote. Its description in RNAcentral is "bacterial SSU rRNA". It matches the Rfam family "Bacterial small subunit ribosomal RNA", at positions 355 to 776 of the family's 1533-position model. The record is from RNAcentral. RNAcentral also lists the same sequence under 1 other name.
UGGGGAAUAUUGGGCAAUGGGGGGAACCCUGACCCAGCAACGCCGCGUGAAGGAAGAAGGUUUUCGGAUUGUAAACUUCUGUCCUUGGUGAAGAGGAAGAGACGGUAGCCAAGGAGGAAGCCCCGGCUAACUACGCGCCAGCAGCCGCGGUAAUACGUAGGGGGCGAGCGUUGUCCGGAAUGACUGGGCGUAAAGGGCGCGUAGACGGCUGUCUAAGUCUGGAGUGAAAGUCCUGCUUUCAAGGUGGGAAUUGCUUUGGAGACUGGAUGGCUUGAGUGCGGAAGAGGUAAGUGGAAUUCCCAGUGUAGCGGUGAAAUGCGUAGAGAUUGGGAGGAACACCAGUGGCGAAGGCGGGUAACUGGACUGCAACUGACGCUGAGGCGCGAAAGUGUGGGGAGCAAACAGG